UGCCCGAUGGUGUAACGGUAGCACACCAGCCUUUGAAGCUGAGAGCCCUGGUUCGAAUCCAGGUCGGGCAGCCA
This 74-nucleotide transfer RNA is filed under the name Dehalococcoidia bacterium. RNAcentral describes it as "tRNA-Gln". It matches the Rfam family "tRNA". Rfam says of the family: Transfer RNA (tRNA) molecules are approximately 80 nucleotides in length. Their secondary structure includes four short double-helical elements and three loops (D, anti-codon, and T loops). Further hydrogen bonds mediate the characteristic L-shaped molecular structure. tRNAs have two regions of fundamental functional importance: the anti-codon, which is responsible for specific mRNA codon recognition, and the 3' end, to which the tRNAs corresponding amino acid is attached (by aminoacyl-tRNA synthetases). tRNAs cope with the degeneracy of the genetic code in two manners: having more than one tRNA (with a specific anti-codon) for a particular amino acid; and 'wobble' base-pairing, i.e. permitting non-standard base-pairing at the 3rd anti-codon position. The record is from RNAcentral. Lineage: Bacteria; Bacillati; Chloroflexota; Dehalococcoidia.